GCCCAGUCUCGCCCCGCCCUGCUCUCUCCUCCUCGUUCUCAAUGGAAGAGCUGCAUCAGCGGCGCAGAGGCAGUGUAGCAAGGGGGCCGCCAGGCACAGGGAGGGAAGGAAGCUGGGGAGGAGUUCUCAGGCCUCCUCCCACCUCUCCUAUCACCUCUUCUGCCAUCUCGUCCCUUCUGUAUUAUUCUUUUCUUCUUCCCCUCCUUUUCUACAGCUGAUGUUGUAUUAGCAGAGGCCCAGUCACACCAGCUGAAUGAAGGAGAAAUGGCAACUUCAGAAGUGGUCAAAGAAAAUCAUAUUCCCCUUAUUCAGAAGAACAAGAGGAUGUUUAACCUGGAAGAGACAUAAUAAUCAAUCAAACAACAAGCAUGUAAGUAUCUAUCAUGUACUAGGCACUAUGUUAAAAGCAUCAUUGUUGACUUCAAAUAUUUGAAGGACUGUUAUAUGGAAGAGG
Molecule: long non-coding RNA, 454 nt
Filed under: Monodelphis domestica (gray short-tailed opossum)
Lineage: Eukaryota; Metazoa; Chordata; Mammalia; Didelphimorphia; Didelphidae
Description: lncRNA (ENSMODG00000033436.2)
Source: RNAcentral